GGGCCUGUAGCAUAGCCUGGAUAGUGCGGCCGGCUUCGGACCGGUAUACUCCGGUUCGAAUCCGGGCAGGCUCA
Molecule: transfer RNA, 74 nt
Filed under: Candidatus Woesearchaeota archaeon CG10_big_fil_rev_8_21_14_0_10_32_9
Lineage: Archaea; Nanobdellati; Candidatus Woesearchaeota
Description: tRNA-Arg
Rfam family: tRNA
About the family: Transfer RNA (tRNA) molecules are approximately 80 nucleotides in length. Their secondary structure includes four short double-helical elements and three loops (D, anti-codon, and T loops). Further hydrogen bonds mediate the characteristic L-shaped molecular structure. tRNAs have two regions of fundamental functional importance: the anti-codon, which is responsible for specific mRNA codon recognition, and the 3' end, to which the tRNAs corresponding amino acid is attached (by aminoacyl-tRNA synthetases). tRNAs cope with the degeneracy of the genetic code in two manners: having more than one tRNA (with a specific anti-codon) for a particular amino acid; and 'wobble' base-pairing, i.e. permitting non-standard base-pairing at the 3rd anti-codon position.
Source: RNAcentral